Molecule: long non-coding RNA, 623 nt
Organism: Ostrinia nubilalis (European corn borer)
Lineage: Eukaryota; Metazoa; Arthropoda; Insecta; Lepidoptera; Crambidae
Exons: 4
Source: RefSeq, a predicted model, not a curated record
AAUGUCAACGAAAUUUUCGGCGUUUUCGCGCGCGGCUGUCUCUUCUGUUUACUAUCUAUUCAUUUUAAUUAAUUCGUGAUUAUUAGGAUACACUACAUUGUUUUUACUUCAUAGUUUACUAAAAAAGCCAAAGGGGCUAAUAAUAUGACUGAUGACAAACCUAUAAGUUGGUGUGAAGAUGUUGAUGAAAAUGACAGCACUGAAGUUCGAAAAGCUACCAAAGAAAAAAUUAAAGAAGAUAGAGAUAAUUCCAGCAGUAGAAAAAGAGUGAAAUACAACAGCAAAAGUGAAUCAGAUGAUGGCAAAACAAACCGACCUCCAAGAAAACCUUUAGAGUUGGAAACUGACCCAGAUAUUCUUCAAAGAAGACAGAAGCAAAUUGAUUAUGGUAAAAAUACUGUUGGAUACCACAAUUACACAGAGCAAGUGCCUAUAAACCAGCGUACAAAGGAGCAUCCAAAAACACCAGAUAAAUACACAAAAUAUAGUCGAAGAUCAUGGGAUACUCUGAUCAAAAUGUGGAGGAAAAAACUGCAUGAAUACGACACAACAAAAGUGCCUGAUGGUGGAGAAUCAGACUGAGAGGAUUAGUAUUAUUAUACAUACAAUAAUAUUUACUUGUA